Molecule: ribosomal RNA, 636 nt
Filed under: Staphylococcus aureus
Lineage: Bacteria; Bacillati; Bacillota; Bacilli; Caryophanales; Staphylococcaceae
Description: bacterial SSU rRNA
Rfam family: Bacterial small subunit ribosomal RNA
Source: RNAcentral
UUUAUGGAGAGUUUGAUCCUGGCUCAGGAUGAACGCUGGCGGCGUGCCUAAUACAUGCAAGUCGAGCGAACGGACGAGAAGCUUGCUUCUCUGAUGUUAGCGGCGGACGGGUGAGUAACACGUGGAUAACCUACCUAUAAGACUGGGAUAACUUCGGGAAACCGGAGCUAAUACCGGAUAAUAUUUUGAACCGCAUGGUUCAAAAGUGAAAGACGGUCUUGCUGUCACUUAUAGAUGGAUCCGCGCUGCAUUAGCUAGUUGGUAAGGUAACGGCUUACCAAGGCAACGAUGCAUAGCCGACCUGAGAGGGUGAUCGGCCACACUGGAACUGAGACACGGUCCAGACUCCUACGGGAGGCAGCAGUAGGGAAUCUUCCGCAAUGGGCGAAAGCCUGACGGAGCAACGCCGCGUGAGUGAUGAAGGUCUUCGGAUCGUAAAACUCUGUUAUUAGGGAAGAACAUAUGUGUAAGUAACUGUGCACAUCUUGACGGUACCUAAUCAGAAAGCCACGGCUAACUACGUGCCAGCAGCCGCGGUAAUACGUAGGUGGCAAGCGUUAUCCGGAAUUAUUGGGCGUAAAGCGCGCGUAGGCGGUUUUUUAAGUCUGAUGUGAAAGCCCACGGCUCAACCGUGGA